GACGAACGCUGGCGGCGUGCUUAACACAUGCAAGUCGAACGGAAAGGCCCUGCUUUUGUGGGGUGCUCGAGUGGCGAACGGGUGAGUAACACGUGAGUAACCUGCCCUUGACUUUGGGAUAACUUCAGGAAACUGGGGCUAAUAACAGAUAGGAGCUCCUGCUGCAUGGUGGGGGUUGGAAAGUUUCGGCGGUUGGGGAUGGACUCGCGGCUUAUCAGCUUGUUGGUGGGGUAGUGGCUUACCAAGGCUUUGACGGGUAGCCGGCCUGAGAGGGUGACCGGCCACAUUGGGACUGAGAUACGGCCCAGACUCCUACGGGAGGCAGCAGUGGGGAAUAUUGCACAAUGGGCGGAAGCCUGAUGCAGCAACGCCGCGUGCGGGAUGACGGCCUUCGGGUUGUAAACCGCUUUCGCCUGUGACGAAGCGUGAGGGACGGUAAUGGGUAAAGAAGCACCGGCUAACUACGUG
This 468-nucleotide ribosomal RNA is filed under the name uncultured bacterium. Its description in RNAcentral is "partial 16S ribosomal RNA". It matches the Rfam family "Bacterial small subunit ribosomal RNA", at positions 28 to 507 of the family's 1533-position model. The record is from RNAcentral.